Molecule: microRNA precursor, 83 nt
Filed under: Myotis lucifugus (little brown bat)
Lineage: Eukaryota; Metazoa; Chordata; Mammalia; Chiroptera; Vespertilionidae
Description: miRNA (ENSMLUG00000020301.1)
Source: RNAcentral
UGUAUGUGUGUGUGCAUGUAUGUGGGUAUAUAUUUUAGCAGAUAUACACACACACACACACACACAUACAUACACACACACAC